GUGCCAGCAGCCGCGGUAAUACGGAGGGAGCUAGCGUUGUUCGGAAUUACUGGGCGUAAAGCGCACGUAGGCGGCUUUGUAAGUCAGAGGUGAAAGCCUGGAGCUCAACUCCAGAACUGCCUUUGAGACUGCAUCGCUUGAAUCCAGGAGAGGUGAGUGGAAUUCCGAGUGUAGAGGUGAAAUUCGUAGAUAUUCGGAAGAACACCAGUGGCGAAGGCGGCUCACUGGACUGGUAUUGACGCUGAAGUGC
This 250-nucleotide ribosomal RNA is filed under the name uncultured bacterium. RNAcentral's name for it is "partial 16S ribosomal RNA". It matches the Rfam family "Bacterial small subunit ribosomal RNA", at positions 505 to 754 of the family's 1533-position model. The record is from RNAcentral.